Molecule: microRNA precursor, 84 nt
Organism: Arabidopsis lyrata subsp. lyrata
Lineage: Eukaryota; Viridiplantae; Streptophyta; Magnoliopsida; Brassicales; Brassicaceae
Rfam family: MIR851 microRNA precursor family
Source: Rfam
AGGGACUGUGGUCUUUGUUUGCGACCCAUACGUAAUCUUUUGUGAGAGACUACGUGUGGGUGGCAAACAAAGACGACAAUCCCU